CCUACGGGCGGCAGCAGUGAGGAAUAUUGGUCAAUGGCCGAGAGGCUGAACCAGCCAAGUCGCGUGAGGGAAGACGGCCCUACGGGUUGUAAACCUCUUUUGUCGGGGAGCAAAGAGAGUCACGUGUGACUCAUUGAGAGUACCCGAAGAAAAAGCAACGGCUAACUACGUGCCAGCAGCCGCGGUAAUACGGAGGGGGCAAGCGUUAUCCGGAUUUACUGGGUGUAAAGGGAGCGUAGACGGCAGGGCAAGUCUGGAGUGAAAGGCGGGGGCUCAACCCCCGGACUGCUCUGGAAACUGCCAGGCUGGAGUGCAGGAGAGGUAAGUGGAAUUCCUAGUGUAGCGGUGAAAUGCGUAGAUAUUAGGAGGAACACCAGUGGCGAAGGCGGCUUACUGGACUGUAACUGACGUUGAGGCUCGAAAGCGUGGGGAGCAAACAGGAUUAGAUACCCGUGUAGUC
Molecule: ribosomal RNA, 460 nt
Filed under: uncultured bacterium
Lineage: Bacteria
Description: partial 16S ribosomal RNA
Rfam family: Bacterial small subunit ribosomal RNA
Source: RNAcentral